RNAcentral lists this ribosomal RNA (274 nucleotides) under uncultured bacterium. RNAcentral describes it as "partial 16S ribosomal RNA". It matches the Rfam family "Bacterial small subunit ribosomal RNA", at positions 523 to 796 of the family's 1533-position model. The record is from RNAcentral.
AUACGGAGGGUGCGAGCGUUAAUCGGAAUUACUGGGCGUAAAGCGUACGUAGGCGGUUGGUUAAGUUAGAUGUGAAAGCCCCGGGCUUAACCUGGGAACUGCGUUUAAAACUGGCGAACUAGAGUUGAGUAGAGGGGAGUGGAAUUUCAGGUGUAGCGGUGAAAUGCGUAGAGAUCUGAAGGAACACCAGUGGCGAAGGCGACUCCCUGGUCUAUCUCUGACGCUGAGGAGCGAAAGCUAGGGGAGCAAACGGGAUUAGAUACCCCAGUAGUCC